This 253-nucleotide ribosomal RNA is filed under the name uncultured bacterium. RNAcentral's name for it is "partial 16S ribosomal RNA". It matches the Rfam family "Bacterial small subunit ribosomal RNA", at positions 524 to 776 of the family's 1533-position model. The record is from RNAcentral.
GACGGAGGAGGCAAGCGUUAUCCGGAAUUAUUGGGCGUAAAGGGUACGUAGGCGGCUGGUCAAGUCUGGGGUCAAAGGCCACAGCUCAACUGUGGGAAGGCCCUGGAAACUGACCGGCUAGAGUGAGGUAGGGGUUGCGGGAAUUCCCGGUGUAGCGGUGAAAUGCGUAGAGAUCGGGGAGAACACCUGAGGCGGAAGCGCGCAACUGGGCCUCAACUGACGCUGAGGUACGAAAGUUAGGGGCGCGAAUGGG